GACGAACGCUGGCGGCGUGCUUAACACAUGCAAGUCGAACGGAAAGGCCCUGCUUUUGUGGGGUGCUCGAGUGGCGAAAGGGUGAGUAACACGUGAGUAACCUGCCCUUGACUUUGGGAUAACUUCAGGAAACUGGGGCUAAUACCGGAUAGGAGCUCCUGCUGCAUGGUGGGGGUUGGAAAGUUUCGGCGGUUGGGGAUGGACUCGCGGCUUAUCAGCUUGUUGGUGGGGUAGUGGCUUACCAAGGCUUUGACGGGUAGCCGGCCUGAGAGGGUGACCGGCCACAUUGGGACUGAGAUACGGCACGGACUCCUACGGGAGGCAGCAGUGGGGAAGAUUGCACGAUGGGCGGAAGCCGGAUGCAGGAACGCCGCGUGCGGGAUGACGGCCUUCGGGUUGUAGGCCGCUUUCGCCUGUGACGAAGCGUGAGUGACGGUAAUGGGUAAAGAAGCACCGGCUAACUACGUG
RNAcentral lists this ribosomal RNA (468 nucleotides) under uncultured bacterium. RNAcentral's name for it is "partial 16S ribosomal RNA". It matches the Rfam family "Bacterial small subunit ribosomal RNA", at positions 28 to 507 of the family's 1533-position model. The record is from RNAcentral.